GACGAAUGUCUGAUGGAGCAACGCCGCGUGAGCGAUGAAGGCCUUCGGGUCGUAAAGCUCUGUUGUUAGGGAAGAAUAAGUAUCGGAGUAACUGCCGGUACCUUGACGGUACCUAACCAGAAAGCCACGGCUAACUACGUGCCAGCAGCCGCGGUAAUACGUAGGUGGCAAGCGUUGUCCGGAAUUAUUGGGCGUAAAGCGCGCGCAGGCGGUCCUUUAAGUCUGAUGUGAAAGCCCACGGCUCAACCGUGGAGGGUCAUUGGAAACUGGGGGACUUGAGUGCAGAAGAGGAAAGCGGAAUUCCACGUGUAGCGGUGAAAUGCGUAGAGAUGUGGAGGAACACCAGUGGCGAAGGCGGCUUUCUGGUCUGUAACUGACGCUGAGGCGCGAAAGCGUGGGGAGCAAACAGGAUUAGAUACCCUGGUAGUCCACGCCGUAAACGAUGAGUGCUAAGUGUUAGGGGGUUUCCGCCCCUUAGUGCUGCAGCUAACGCAUUAAGCACUCCGCCUGGGGAGUACG
Molecule: ribosomal RNA, 519 nt
Filed under: uncultured bacterium
Lineage: Bacteria
Description: bacterial SSU rRNA
Rfam family: Bacterial small subunit ribosomal RNA
Source: RNAcentral